AGAAUCAACGCUGGCGGCGUGCCUAACACAUGCAAGUCGAACGAGAAAGUGGAGCAAUCCAUGAGUAAAGUGGCGCACGGGUGAGUAACACGUGACUAACCUACCCUUGAGUGGGGAAUAACUGAGGGAAACCUUCGCUAAUACCGCAUAACACCUACGGGUCAAAGGAGCAAUUCGCUUAAGGAGGGGGUCGCGGCAGAUUAGCUAGUUGGCGGGUAAUGGCCCACAAGGCAGUGAUCUGUA
This 243-nucleotide ribosomal RNA is filed under the name uncultured bacterium. RNAcentral's name for it is "partial small subunit ribosomal RNA". It matches the Rfam family "Bacterial small subunit ribosomal RNA", at positions 26 to 285 of the family's 1533-position model. The record is from RNAcentral.